This 432-nucleotide ribosomal RNA is filed under the name uncultured bacterium. Its description in RNAcentral is "partial 16S ribosomal RNA". It matches the Rfam family "Bacterial small subunit ribosomal RNA", at positions 29 to 507 of the family's 1533-position model. The record is from RNAcentral.
ACGAACGCUGGCGGCAGGCCUAACACCUGCCCGUCGAGCGCGCCCUUCGGGGUGAGCGGCGGACGGGUGAGUAACGCGUGGGAACGUGCCCUUCUCUGCGGAAUAGCCUCGGGAAACUGAGAGUAAUACCGCAUACGCCCUUUGGGGGAAAGAUUUAUCGGAGAAGGAUCGGCCCGCGUUGGAUUAGGUAGUUGGUGGGGUAAUGGCCCACCAAGCCGACGAUCCAUAGCUGGUUUGAGAGGAUGAUCAGCCACACUGGGACUGAGACACGGCCCAGACUCCUACGGGAGGCAGCAGUGGGGAAUCUUAGACAAUGGGGGCAACCCUGAUCUAGCCAUGCCGCGUGAGUGAUGAAGGCCUUAGGGUUGUAAAGCUCUUUCAGCUGGGAAGAUAAUGACGGUACCAGCAGAAGAAGCCCCGGCUAACUCCGUG